GACGAACGCUGGCGGCGUGCUUAACACUUGCAAGUCGAACGGAAAGGCUCCAGCUUGCUGGAGUACUCGAGUGGCGAACGGGUGAGUAACACGUGGGUAAUCUGCCCUGCACUCUGGGAUAAGCCUGGGAAACUGGGUCUAAUACUGGAUAUGACCUUUCUCCUUAUGGGGUUUGGUGGAAAGUUUUUCGGUGUAGGAUGAGCCCGCGGCCUAUCAGCUUGUUGGUGGGGUGAUGGCCUACCAAGGCGACGACGGGUAGCCGGCCUGAGAGGGUGAUCGGCCACAUUGGGACUGAGAUACGGCCCAGACUCCUACGGGAGGCAGCAGUGGGGAAUAUUGCACAAUGGGCGGAAGCCUGAUGCAGCGACGCCGCGUGAGGGAUGACGGCCUUCGGGUUGUAAACCUCUUUCAGCAGGGACGAAGCGUAAGUGACGGUACCUGCAGAAGAAGCACCGGCUAACUAUGUG
RNAcentral lists this ribosomal RNA (467 nucleotides) under uncultured bacterium. Its description in RNAcentral is "partial 16S ribosomal RNA". It matches the Rfam family "Bacterial small subunit ribosomal RNA", at positions 28 to 507 of the family's 1533-position model. The record is from RNAcentral.